UCCAAAUACGCGAGAUGAUUUAAUGUUG
This 28-nucleotide small RNA is filed under the name Bombyx mori (domestic silkworm). Its description in RNAcentral is "ovarian small RNA-26464". Lineage: Eukaryota; Metazoa; Arthropoda; Insecta; Lepidoptera; Bombycidae. The record is from RNAcentral.